RNAcentral lists this ribosomal RNA (448 nucleotides) under uncultured organism. RNAcentral's name for it is "partial 16S ribosomal RNA". It matches the Rfam family "Bacterial small subunit ribosomal RNA", at positions 332 to 797 of the family's 1533-position model. The record is from RNAcentral.
UACACUCCUACGGGAGGCAGCAGUGGGGAAUAUUGGACAAUGGGCGCAAGCCUGAUCCAGCCAUGCCGCGUGAGUGAUGAAGGCCCUAGGGUUGUAAAGCUCUUUCACCGGUGAAGAUAAUGACGGUAACCGGAGAAGAAGCCCCGGCUAACUUCGUGCCAGCAGCCGCGGUAAUACGAAGGGGGCUAGCGUUGUUCGGAUUUACUGGGCGUAAAGCGCACGUAGGCGGACUAUUAAGUCAGGGGUGAAAUCCCGGGGCUCAACCCCGGAACUGCCUUUGAUACUGGUAGUCUUGAGUUCGGGAGAGGUGAGUGGAAUUCCGAGUGUAGAGGUGAAAUUCGUAGAUAUUCGGAGGAACACCAGUGGCGAAGGCGGCUCACUGGCUCGAUACUGACGCUGAGGUGCGAAAGCGUGGGGAGCAAACAGGAUUAGAAACCCUUGUAGUCCC